RNAcentral lists this ribosomal RNA (1417 nucleotides) under Listeria monocytogenes. Its description in RNAcentral is "partial 23S ribosomal RNA". It matches the Rfam family "Bacterial large subunit ribosomal RNA", at positions 408 to 1823 of the family's 2925-position model. The record is from RNAcentral. Lineage: Bacteria; Bacillati; Bacillota; Bacilli; Caryophanales; Listeriaceae.
CUGAGUACGGCGGAACACGUGAAAUUCCGUCGGAAUCCGGGAGGACCAUCUCCCAAGGCUAAAUACUCCCUAGUGACCGAUAGUGAACCAGUACCGUGAGGGAAAGGUGAAAAGCACCCCGGAAGGGGAGUGAAACAGUUCCUGAAACCGUGUGCCUACAAGUAGUUAGAGCCCGUUAAUGGGUGAUAGCGUGCCUUUUGUAGAAUGAACCGGCGAGUUACGAUUUGUUGCAAGGUUAAGCGGAAAAAGCGGAGCCGUAGCGAAAGCGAGUCUGAAUAGGGCGCAUAAGUAACAGGUCGUAGACCCGAAACCAGGUGAUCUACCCAUGUCCAGGAUGAAGGUAAGGUAAUACUUACUGGAGGUCCGAACCCACGCACGUUGAAAAGUGCGGGGAUGAGGUGUGGGUAGCGGAGAAAUUCCAAUCGAACUUGGAGAUAGCUGGUUCUCUCCGAAAUAGCUUUAGGGCUAGCCUCGAGGUAAAGAGUCAUGGAGGUAGAGCACUGUUUGGACUAGGGGCCCUUCUCGGGUUACCGAAUUCAGAUAAACUCCGAAUGCCAUGUACUUAUACUCGGGAGUCAGACUGCGAGUGAUAAGAUCCGUAGUCGAAAGGGAAACAGCCCAGACCACCAGUUAAGGUCCCCAAAUAUAUGUUAAGUGGAAAAGGAUGUGGGGUUGCUUAGACAACCAGGAUGUUGGCUUAGAAGCAGCCACCAUUGAAAGAGUGCGUAAUAGCUCACUGGUCGAGUGACCCCGCGCCGAAAAUGUACCGGGGCUAAACAUAUUACCGAAACUGUGGAUGAACCUCUUUAGAGGUUCGUGGUAGGAGAGCGUUCUAAGGGCGGUGAAGUCAGACCGGAAGGACUGGUGGAGCGCUUAGAAGUGAGAAUGCCGGUAUGAGUAGCGAAAGAAGGGUGAGAAUCCCUUCCACCGAAUAUCUAAGGUUUCCUGAGGAAGGCUCGUCCGCUCAGGGUUAGUCGGGACCUAAGCCGAGGCCGAUAGGCGUAGGCGAUGGACAACAGGUAGAGAUUCCUGUACCAGUGCUAAUUGUUUAACCGAUGGGGUGACACAGAAGGAUAGGGAAUCGCACGAAUGGAAAUGUGCGUCCAAGCAGUGAGUGUGAGAAGUAGGCAAAUCCGCUUCUCGCGAAGCAUGAGCUGUGAUGGGGAAGGAAAUUAAGUACGGAAGUUCCUGAUUUCACGCUGUCAAGAAAAGCCUCUAGGAAGAGUAGUACUGCCCGUACCGCAAACCGACACAGGUAGAUGAGGAGAGAAUCCUAAGGUGAGCGAGAGAACUCUCGUUAAGGAACUCGGCAAAAUGACCCCGUAACUUCGGGAGAAGGGGUGCUCUAUUAGGGUGCAAGCCCGAGAGAGCCGCAGUGAAUAGGCCCAGGCGACUGUUUAGCAAAAACACAGGUCUC